RNAcentral lists this ribosomal RNA (462 nucleotides) under uncultured bacterium. RNAcentral's name for it is "partial 16S ribosomal RNA". It matches the Rfam family "Bacterial small subunit ribosomal RNA", at positions 28 to 507 of the family's 1533-position model. The record is from RNAcentral.
GACGAACGCUGGCGGCGUGCUUAACACAUGCAAGUCGAGCGGAAAGGCCCUUCGGGGUACUCGAGCGGCGAACGGGUGAGUAACACGUGAGUAACCUGCCCCAGACUUUGGGAUAACCCUCGGAAACGGGGGCUAAUACCGGAUACGACACAGCUUCGCAUGGGGUCUGUGUGGAAAGUUUUUCGGUUUGGGAUGGGCUCGCGGCCUAUCAGCUUGUUGGUGGGGGGAUGGCCUACCAAGGCGACGACGGGUAGCCGGCCUGAGAGGGCGACCGGCCACACUGGGACUGAGACACGGCCCAGACUCCUACGGGAGGCAGCAGUGGGGAAUAUUGCACAAUGGGCGGAAGCCUGAUGCAGCGACGCCGCGUGAGGGAUGACGGCCUUCGGGUUGUAAACCUCUUUCAGCAGGGACGAAGCGUAAGUGACGGUACCUGCAGAAGAAGCGCCGGCCAACUACGUG